RNAcentral lists this ribosomal RNA (494 nucleotides) under uncultured bacterium. Its description in RNAcentral is "partial 16S ribosomal RNA". It matches the Rfam family "Bacterial small subunit ribosomal RNA", at positions 28 to 507 of the family's 1533-position model. The record is from RNAcentral.
GACGAACGCUGGCGGCGUGCUUAACACAUGCAAGUCGAACGGAAAGGCCUGCUUUCCCUUGUGGAUUGCGGGUGCUCGAGUGGCGAACGGGUGAGUAACACGUGAGUGAUCUGCCCCCAACUUGGGUAUAAGCCCGGGAAACUGGGUCUAAUUCCCGAUAGGACUGCAGGGUGGUGCCUGUGGUGGAAAACGAUUUUCUAGUGGUUGGGGAUGAGCUCGCGGCCUAUCAGCUUGUUGGUGGGGUAAUGGCCUACCAAGGCGGCGACGGGUAGCCGGCCUGAGAGGGUGGACGGCCACAUUGGGACUGAGAUACGGCCCAGAGUCCUACGGGAGGCAGCAGUGGGGAAUAUUGCACAGUGGGCGGAAGCCUGAUGCAGCGACGCCGCGUGGGGGAUGACGGCCUUCGGAUUGUAAACUCCUUUCGACCGCGAGGAAGCCACCUGGUUGGAAGGGUGGUGACGGUAGUGGUAGAAGAAGCACCGGCUAACUACGUG